UACAGAGGGCGCAAACGUUUGUUCGGAUUUACUGGGCGUAAAGCGCGUGUAGGCUGCUUCGCAAGUCGGAUGUGAAAGCCCUGGGCUCAACCCAGGAAGUGCAUUCGAAACUGCAGAGCUGGAGUCCUGGAGAGGAAGGCGGAAUUCUCGGUGUAGAGGUGAAAUUCGUAGAUAUCGAGAGGAACACCGGUGGCGAAGGCGGCCUUCUGGACAGUGACUGACGCUGAGACGCGAAAGCGUGGGGAGCAAACAGG
This 254-nucleotide ribosomal RNA is filed under the name uncultured bacterium. RNAcentral describes it as "partial 16S ribosomal RNA". It matches the Rfam family "Bacterial small subunit ribosomal RNA", at positions 524 to 776 of the family's 1533-position model. The record is from RNAcentral.